CCUACGGGCGGCUGCAGUGGGGAAUAUUGGACAAUGGGCGAAAGCCUGAUCCAGCCAUGCCGCGUGAGUGAUGAAGGCCUUAGGGUUGUAAAGCUCUUUUGUCCGGGAAGAUAAUGACGGUACCGGAAGAAUAAGCCCCGGCUAACUUCGUGCCAGCAGCCGCGGUAAUACGAAGGGGGCUAGCGUUGUUCGGAUUUACUGGGCGUAAAGCGCACGUAGGCGGAUCUUUAAGUCAGAGGUGAAAUCCCAAGGCUCAACCUUGGAACUGCCUUUGAUACUGGGGAUCUCGAGUUCGGGAGAGGUGAGUGGAACUGCGAGUGUAGAGGUGAAAUUCGUAGAUAUUCGCAAGAACACCAGUGGCGAAGGCGGCUCACUGGCCCGAUACUGACGCUGAGGUGCGAAAGCGUGGGGAGCAAACAGGAUUAGAUACCCGUGUAGUC
This 440-nucleotide ribosomal RNA is filed under the name uncultured Hyphomicrobiales bacterium. Its description in RNAcentral is "bacterial SSU rRNA". It matches the Rfam family "Bacterial small subunit ribosomal RNA", at positions 338 to 795 of the family's 1533-position model. The record is from RNAcentral. Lineage: Bacteria; Pseudomonadati; Pseudomonadota; Alphaproteobacteria; Hyphomicrobiales.